Molecule: ribosomal RNA, 914 nt
Filed under: uncultured organism
Description: SSU rRNA
Rfam family: Bacterial small subunit ribosomal RNA
Source: RNAcentral
AGAAAGCCCCGGCUAACUACGUGCCAGCAGCCGCGGUUACAUGUAGGGGGCAAGCGUUGUCCGGAAUGAUUGGGCGUAAAGGGCGCGCAGGCGGCCUCUUAAGUCUGAUGUGAAAGCCCACGGCUCAACCGUGGAGGGACAUUGGAAACUGGGGGGCUUGAGUGCAGGAGAGGGGAGUGGAAUUCCACGUGUAGCGGUGAAAUGCGUAGAGAUGUGGAGGAACACCAGUGGCGAAGGCGGCUCUCUGGCCUGUGACUGACGCUGAGGCGCGAAAGCGUGGGGAGCGAACAAAAUUAGAUACCCUGGUAGUCCACGCCGUAAACGAUGAGUGUUAGGUGGUUAGGGGGGAACACCCCCUCAGUGCGAAAGUCAACACAUUAAGCACUCCGCCUGGGGAGUACGGCCGCAAGGAUGAAACUCAAAGGAAUUGACGGGGGCCCGCACAAGCAGUGGAGCAUGUGGUUUAAUUCGAAGCAACGCGAAGAACCUUACCAGGUCUUGACAUCCCUCUGACGGGUUCAGAGAUGGACCGUUCCUUCGGGACAGAGGAGACAGGUGGUGCAUGGUUGUCGUCAGCUCGUGUCGUGAGAUGUUGGGUUAAGUCCCGCAACGAGCGCAACCCUUGACCUUUGUUGCCAGCAUUAAGUUGGGCACUCAGAGGUGACUGCCGGUGACAAACCGGAGGAAGGUGGGGAUGACGUCAAAUCAUCAUGCCCCUGAUGACCUGGGCGACACACGUGCUACAAUGGGCGGUACAGAGGGCAGCGAAGCCGCGAGGCGGAGCGAAUCCCAGAAGGCCGCUCUCAGUUCGGAUUGCAGGCUGCAACUCGCCUGCAUGAAGGAGGAAUUGCUAGUAAUCGCGGAUCAGCAUGCCGCGGUGAAUCAGUUCCCGGGCCUUGUACACACCGCCCGUC